RNAcentral lists this ribosomal RNA (234 nucleotides) under Triticum aestivum (bread wheat). RNAcentral describes it as "partial small subunit ribosomal RNA". Lineage: Eukaryota; Viridiplantae; Streptophyta; Magnoliopsida; Poales; Poaceae. The record is from RNAcentral.
AUGCCGAUCCACCUCCGGCUGCGGCGCUGGCUGCCUUGCCCUCGCCCAGAGCCCCUCCGCCGUUCACCUUCGCCCUCUGCCUCAGCGGUGCUGGUGCUGUCCAGUGCGGCUCGGCAUGUAGUGCGGUUCAUCCUAUGUAUUGUUGAAGCUGAUCCAAAGCAACAAAAGCAGCGAGCGGGCAUAUGUAUGCAGGCUGCUGCGGGUUGCCACGUAUUCCUUCAAGUAUUGUACUAA